Molecule: ribosomal RNA, 348 nt
Filed under: Triticum aestivum (bread wheat)
Lineage: Eukaryota; Viridiplantae; Streptophyta; Magnoliopsida; Poales; Poaceae
Description: partial small subunit ribosomal RNA
Source: RNAcentral
AUGCCCCUCUCUACAUUGGCAUCUACACAGCCAAAUCAAGGACUUAAACUCCUGAUGUUCAUGUAUUUGCUAAUGCUGUCCAUAGGAACGGCUCCUCCUAUCCCCUGCUCAUCUCGCAUUGGCGCAAGUCCGCCUCCUCCCCCGCCUCCAUCUCCACGCGUGCAGCAGCGACCCGGGAGGAGCUUGAGCCGCAGCGGUGGUCCAUGGCGCCUUCGCUGUCAUCCCCGGCUGGAGAAGCAUGGACCGCAGAGACAGACGGAUCUGUCCGGCCCUCGCGCCGUCAUUCGUCCACUCUCAAGGUUUGUACUUGCUGAAACAAUUGAUGACGUCUUUUUCCCUGCAGGAUAA